RNAcentral lists this ribosomal RNA (252 nucleotides) under uncultured bacterium. RNAcentral describes it as "partial 16S ribosomal RNA". It matches the Rfam family "Bacterial small subunit ribosomal RNA", at positions 524 to 776 of the family's 1533-position model. The record is from RNAcentral.
UACGAAGGGGGCUAGCGUUGUUCGGAAUUACUGGGCGUAAAGCGCACGUAGGCGGACUAUUAAGUCAGGGGUGAAAUCCCGGGGCUCAACCCCGGUACGCACUGGAAACUGGGCGACUGGAGUGCAGAAGAGGAGAGUGGAAUUCCACGUGUAGCGGUGAAAUGCGUAGAUAUGUGGAGGAACACCAGUGGCGAAGGCGACUCUCUGGUCUGUAACUGACGCUGAGGCGCGAAAGCGUGGGGAGCAAACAGG